GGGGAAUAUUGCACAAUGGGGGAAACCCUGAUGCAGCAACGCCGCGUGAAGGAUGAAGGUUUUCGGAUUGUAAACUUCUUUAGUCAGGGACGAAAAAAAUGACGGUGCCUGAAGAAUAAGCCACGGCGAACUACGUGCCAGCAGCCGCGGUAAUACGUAGGUGGCAAGCGUUGUCCGGAAUUACUGGGUGUAAAGGGCGUGUAGGCGGGAAUGUAAGUCAGAUGUGAAAUCCCAGGGCUUAACCCUGGAGCUGCAUCUGAAACUAUGUUUCUUGAGUGCCGGAGACGAAAGCGGAAUUCCUAGGGUAGCGGUGACAUGCGUAGAUAUUAGGAGGAACACCAGUGGCGAAGGCGGCUUUCUGGACGGUAACUGACGCUGAGGCGCGAAAGCGUGGGGAGCAAAC
This 403-nucleotide ribosomal RNA is filed under the name uncultured bacterium. RNAcentral's name for it is "bacterial SSU rRNA". It matches the Rfam family "Bacterial small subunit ribosomal RNA", at positions 356 to 773 of the family's 1533-position model. The record is from RNAcentral.